RNAcentral lists this long non-coding RNA (203 nucleotides) under Olea europaea (common olive). RNAcentral's name for it is "long non-coding RNA (OEUR_LNC008782)". Lineage: Eukaryota; Viridiplantae; Streptophyta; Magnoliopsida; Lamiales; Oleaceae. The record is from RNAcentral.
CCAAGCCCAAGCCCCCAAUUAAAAUUACAUAUACAAGACGUAAGGGGACCAAGUGACAUGGAAGAUAACUAUAUUACAGCAUGGCAUGCCGGUAGUUUCUAGAAUAAAGCUGCAUCUCUCUCUGUAGUCAGGUGGUUAGCUAUUCUGUUGAGUUGGUUAGGAGAAGGGUAUAUGUAAGGGGGGUGGGGAAUAGUAGAAGGCAG